Long non-coding RNA from Mesocricetus auratus (golden hamster), 756 nucleotides. RefSeq lists it as uncharacterized. NCBI's taxonomy places the organism in Eukaryota, Metazoa, Chordata, Mammalia, Rodentia, Cricetidae. The record is from RefSeq and is a predicted model, not a curated record. The transcript is spliced from 2 exons.
CUGGCCUCCGGAGCAGCGCACCCUCGAGGUCCCGGCCCAAGGGCCCGCUUGGGUCCCGGCGCGACGCUGUCUUUGGACUGCAGUGGAAAGACCUAAGGGAGCGCUAACCCGGUCCCUAGGAAGCCCAGGAGCUGCUAGUUCCCAGCAGGGUGAGUAGUCUUCUAAGCAGCUCUCUCUCUCUCUGUCUGACACCUGCGGAGUGGCUGGCGGUCUGGUGAUUUUGCCGAAACUGAAGAAGACACUGGAGGAGCCCAGAAAAACUACGCCUUUUGUAGGAUGCAGUUCACAACCACAAAAAUGGCCUCUUUGUAAAGGUGUCUGUAACCAGGAAGAGAGCUGUUCUAUGGCAACUUUUAUCCACCCAGUCUUUCUCUCCAGGCUCCCCCACCCCCCCUGCGCCUAACCCAUCCCUAUUUGCUUUCACCAAACCCUCAGAGUUUGCCUCCACGAUACCCAUGAAGCAAACCUCUAUUUUUCUGUAUCACUUGGUGGAGUAUAUAAGGUUAAGCUGUGGGCAAUCUCAAAAGACUCAUACUGAUUUUUAUAUUUUGAGACGAGGUCUCACUGUGUAGCUAGCUAGCCCUGGCUGUCCUGGAACUUGCUAUAUAGGCCAGGCUAGCCUACCUCUGCCUCUCACAGGUGCUGGGAUCAAAGGUUUACACAACAAGAAGGGCAUUGGAGGUUGAGGAUUUUAUGGAGUUUUACAGGACUCCCUUCCAUGGCCACAUUAAUUAAAAAUGAUUUUUUUCUCCUGUU